CGACCUGCGGCGGGAGAGUCCUGCCGGGUACAUUUAGCAGGCGCCGUAGGAGCAAACCCUCCCCAGGAAACUCUCAGGCCCAUGUACCGCCGCGGACAG
Molecule: non-coding RNA, 99 nt
Filed under: Pseudarthrobacter chlorophenolicus
Lineage: Bacteria; Bacillati; Actinomycetota; Actinomycetes; Micrococcales; Micrococcaceae
Also listed under: 1 other name
Description: Arthrobacter chlorophenolicus Glycine sequence
Rfam family: Glycine riboswitch aptamer
About the family: This family represents the bacterial glycine riboswitch. Glycine riboswitches usually consist of two metabolite-binding aptamers domains with similar structures in tandem.
Source: RNAcentral